Molecule: ribosomal RNA, 506 nt
Filed under: uncultured bacterium
Lineage: Bacteria
Description: partial 16S ribosomal RNA
Rfam family: Bacterial small subunit ribosomal RNA
Source: RNAcentral
AGUGAACGCUGGCGGUAGGCCUAACACAUGCAAGUCGAACGGCAGCACAGGAGAGCUUACUCUCUGGGUGGCGAGUGGCGGACGGGGGAGGAAUACAUCGGAAUCUACUCUGUCGUGGGGGAUAACGUAGGGAAACUUACGCUAAUACCGCAUACGACCUACGGGUGAAAGCAGGGGACCUUCGGGCCUUGCGCGAUUGAAUGAGCCGAUGUCGGAUUAGCUAGUUGGCGGGGUAAAGGCCCACCAAGGCGACGAUCCGUAGCUGGUCUGAGAGGAUGAUCAGCAACACUGGAACUGAGACACGGUCCAGACUCCUACGGGAGGCAGCAGUGGGGAAUAUUGGACAAUGGGCGCAAGCCUGAUCCAGCCAUACCGCGUGGGUGAAGAAGGCCUUCGGGUUGUAAAGCCCUUUUGUUGGGAAAGAAAUCCAGCUGGCUAAUACCCGGUUGGGAUGACGGUACCCAAAGAAUAAGCACCGGCUAACUUCGUGCCAGCAGCCGCCGUAA